Small nucleolar RNA from Cyprinodon tularosa, 136 nucleotides. RefSeq annotates it as small nucleolar RNA SNORA8. The transcript has a single exon. The record is from RefSeq and is a predicted model, not a curated record. Lineage: Eukaryota; Metazoa; Chordata; Actinopteri; Cyprinodontiformes; Cyprinodontidae.
AGCACUGUGGUAUCUGCAGCCAGCAUGUUUCAUCAGCUGGCUGUUUAAAUGACUGUGCAAGAGAAAUUCAGCAUAAGGCAUUGUUGGUCUCCCUGCUGCUCAUGUUUGGAGUCCUGGUAUAAUGUCUGAAACAAGC